CAGAGAGAGAGACAGACAGACAGAGACAGAGAGAGACAGACAGACAGAGAGAGACAGAGUGAGAGUGCGGACCAAGGCGUAAACCUAUCUGUUUUUAAACCAUAACGUAGUACGGUAGAUGUAGCCUCGGUCUGGUUGAUCGGAACUUAAAAUGUCUUUAAUUUAAGUUUUCUAAAUGGACAUCUUCUACAAUUGGAGGACAACAGAUGACUCAGACGGCUCAGUAACGCCUACUGAAAUUAGUUUUCUUUUGGGGAGCAAACAAAUAAAUAUUGAGCCGAUGUUGUCAGGGACGGUCUGGCUCCUUUGCAUGACUGUGGGUCAUUUCCCUAAACAACAACCACGGCGUGUUGAUUUACAUAUUUAAAUACCAGCGUAUGUUUCCCAACGGUAUGAACAAUAAUCUUUGAAUUAGUUUGAGUUUGGCUCGGCCAUUGUGCUAGCUUAAUACCACGCUAAUCCAAAACUAAAAGACAAACAUUGUCUCUCUGCAAGUUCCAUUUCUACGUGAGAACUGAGAAAACAACAGCAUGUUUUUGGAAAGUGUUCGCAGUGACAUGAAGUAUUUGUAAGUUGUAGUAAAACAUGUAAAAACAGAAAUACACUCCUUUCAAAUCACUUCCCCACAUAAUGCUAAUACGUGUUAUGUUCAGCUGCUUUUAAAGGAGUGAUUUCCCUUCAUCUAAGCUUAACUUUUUAAAGGUUUUUGAAACUGUGAGCGAGCGCUGCUGCUGUGCUGCAGGUGGCGCUGUGGGGCAGGUACAGCGGUUUAGCACCAAGCCGUAGCUUCAGUAGUCUUAACACGACUCCUCCGUUCAGUCUCCGCUAAUUCAUAAACACCGCAGGAUAUUUUUUGCACACGCUAAUUAUCUGCAAUCUAUCUGAAACAAGUUCACACAUUCGCCCCUCUGUGGCCUAUUUAGAUUUUGGCUGAUAAUAGUUUUGUUAAAAAAAAAUUAAAAGUUACUACAGAUAUUUUGGCCUGGUGUGACACUACAAAUAUUGAGUGAGAAUGUGCGUGUGUGUGUUUCCAUGUGUGGCUGGCCUUCUGCUUUAGAGCGGCAAAGUUUUAUCGAUUAGUUGUCAACUGUUUAUUUAAAUCGCAACUAUUUUGAUUAAUCG
Sander lucioperca (pikeperch) is the source of this 1122-nucleotide long non-coding RNA. RefSeq lists it as uncharacterized. The transcript has 3 exons. NCBI's taxonomy places the organism in Eukaryota, Metazoa, Chordata, Actinopteri, Perciformes, Percidae. The record is from RefSeq and is a predicted model, not a curated record.